This 304-nucleotide ribosomal RNA is filed under the name uncultured bacterium. RNAcentral's name for it is "partial 16S ribosomal RNA". It matches the Rfam family "Bacterial small subunit ribosomal RNA", at positions 506 to 808 of the family's 1533-position model. The record is from RNAcentral.
CAGCAGCAGCCGCGGUAAAACGGAGGGUGCAAGCGCUAAUCGGAAUUACUGGGCGUAAAGCGCACGCAGGCGGUUUGUUAAGUCAGAUGUGUAAUCCCCGAGCUUAACUUGGGAACUGCAUUUGAAACUGGCAAGCUAGAGUCUUGUAGAGGGGGGUAGAAUUCCAGGUGUAGCGGUGAAAUGCGUAGAGAUCUGGAGGAAUACCGGUGGCGAAGGCGGCCCCCUGACAAAGACUGACGCUCAGGUGCGAAAGCGUGGGGAGCAAACAGGAUUAGAUACCCCUGUAGUCCCUGUCUCUUAUACA